CUUGCUUGAAGGGGGGAGUGAGGUUGUAGAGUAAGUCUCUCUUCAUCAAGUCCUCCAGAUCCUUCCUCUAGCCUCCUUCAACACUUCUCUGCCUUGUUCCAACUUCCAUCAAACUAUUGGACAAGCAUUUGAUUUCCAUCUCCACUCCGUCCUUUUUCCUUCCGUGACCGUCAUCUAUGUGCCCCCAUGCAAUGGAGGGAGGACUGGAGAGUAGAUGAGGGCCUUGUGGUUUUCUUUUACUGGUUUCAUAUUUAUAUUUGAUGCCUUUUUUGAUCCAGUUGGUUGGAUUUCAUGUGCACUUGGGUCUUUUUUGGAGCGCGGGAUCUGCUAAGAGAGCUUCCUUCAGUCCACUCAUGGGUGGCUGUAGGAUUGAAUUAGCUGCCGACUCAUUCAUCCAAAUGCCAAGCAACAAGGGGUCAAAGGCUGUGCUUGGUAGAUGAGUGAAUGAUGCGGGAGAUAAGUUGAAUCUUAUGCUGCCUAUGCUUGGACUGAAGGGAGCUCCCUUUUCUACUAGGCCCAUGCAAACCAAUAGACCCUUGGCUUCUUUCUUUGUUACUUCUAAAUGUUACCUUUUUUGGUAUGCAUAUGUUUUUCAAUAACGUGCACUGCGAUUUCCUAGCUAGCUAAUUUUCUCGGUACAAUAAUGUAUUUUAUGUUUGGAUCUAAUUUGACAUGGAUGGAUCACAUCCUAUAAAUGUUAAUAAAGAUUUUAUAGAUUUUGUUGUUUGAAUGAUUAUGAAGUUAUUUCUACACGUUAGGUCAGAAAGUCUCGUGCUCCUGGAGCAAUUGUUCCAUGUUUAUCUAAAGUUUGUUCUGUAUUCUAAGAUCCAGCUACAAGCCUUGCCAACUUGUGUCUUUUAACUUAUUUCCAUUGAUUUCUAUUAGCCAAAGUCUCUGUUAUAUCUGUUCCUUGUGGAUCUACUAAGUCUUUUAUGAGCGACCUAUGGUAAGUCACCAGGGUGGGGAGGAGGAUAAAAAAAAAGCUAAUGUAGAAACCUUUCUCUCUCUCACUCGUCUACUCAACAUCUCAAAAACAAAUUUGUAAGUCUUCUUGGAGAAAUCAAGGCACCUCCUAUUUUUCUCUAAUAUUAGCAGGACAACUAUAGGUCUGUGUAGCAAAAAUAUAAGCAAAAACUGCUCUACAUGUUAGAUUUAGUCUGCACAUUUAAGGUUGUUUGAUACUUACAGGUCUCAGCACUCACCAUUUGGCCUCCUAUAUUUUUUUUGCACUAAUUUACGACAUGUAGCUUAGUUACUGCACUCCAGUUUGUUUUCGGAACAUGCCCUCCCUUCACCGCUGAGGCCUGUCAUAACCUCGUUUUAGAAAUUUUCCUUUUAGUGCUUGUAAACCCUAAUACUUUAUGUUAGGGAUCACUGGGAACCUCGAUGUCACAGAGUCUUCAACAAUAAAAUCUCGGGCCUCACUCUCUUGUUUCGACAAGUUCCUAGAUACUCAUUCUGUUAGGGUUUCUAAUCACACAACUGACAUCUUGCAAGUGAGCUCAUUGAGGUUUUCAGUUCCCAUAUUAAGAGAACUGUAUAUAUGGAUGUAUCCGUAACAAGAUCUUUUAACUAGCGUUAGAAUUUUGAUUUGCACUUUACGAAGUAGAUUAAUAAAACGUUUUAAAAGAGCCACGUAUGAACUCUUGAAGCAGCUGGAAGUGAAUGUCCAAGGACUGAUGCAUGCACAGAAAAUACUGAAUCGUUUUUUUCUUUUGUUUUUUUGAUACGAUCCAGUUGUUAGUCUUAGUCUAUGGUUAUUGUUUUCGCUUGCAAGUUUUGUUUAUUGAUAUAAUAUGUAUAAAUCUAGUCUAUUUUUGAGGAAAGCAUACGUCUGAUAUUCUCUUGCGCUGCUUUUUUGUUUGUUUGCCUUCUUCUUUUAGUGUUCGUUUGUCUGAUAUUAUAUUGCUUUGGUCUGUUGAUGAGGUGGUACCCAGAUGUCCAUCAGAAUUGAAUCAAAAGGUGGCAGUAAGGUUAUUCCGGCACUAGCAUGGAAAUCUUUAGGAUAUUUGGCUAAAAGAUUAUGCAAUUGGUGUAUCCCCAAAUCAAUUGAUGAAAUGAAUGUAUAAUAUGGAAACAUAUAGAAAACCUUGAUCGAUCGAGGAACAUUUUGAUGAAAAAAGAGUAGGGUGGAACCUUGAAAACCUCAUUGACACAUGAACAUUAAAAGGCUACAAUUUAUCUAUGAAUUAUAUGCUUCAAAGAAUUUUAGGUCUUAGAGCAUUCCUUGUGAUGUUUGCUUCGUUUCGUAGGAUAUUUGUUUUGCGGUAGUCAAAUAUAUGCUUUGUAUUCAUGUAGAAGUCCGUCCUUUGCGUGUUGAUCAAAUAGGCCUAUCAUCUUUCUCUGGGCAUGAGUGCUGAUCUUAAGGGUUUAUUUGAGUUGUGACAAUAAACAGAAGUAACUUGAAUAUGCUUCAGAUUUCUGUACCCAUGCAUGUUCCCUGCAGUUUGUACGAUGAGCUAACAACGGCACCAUAAGGCAGGACCACCCUGAUGUUUUCUUCUUUACACACGUAACUCUUAUAUAUGCGACCUGAAUGAAUAUAUGUGUAUCCUGGGGAGAGCUACCGUUACUGCUUAUACGGUGGCUUUCAUGGUGCAAGUCGUUCAAGUUUUCUUUGAAUUUAUCGGGGUGAUUGAACUACUGUAAUCCAAAAGUUUGUUGUUAUCAAUAAAGUUCUUCAUUUUGAAGCUAGAUUAUCGCUCAGCUAGUUUUUGUCGAUUGUUGAUGGGCCAUUUCAUGGUUGCUACGUUGAAACUAUUUAUGACAAAUAUAAUUACAUUUCGCGUUAUAGAAGACUCUGUCCCGCUCUAUUAAUUUUUCGUCAGACUGCCGCCACUGCAACAUACUCUGCCCAUCGUCCCUGGGGUUCUCGUCAUUGGUCUUUCUUUAUUCUCCUAAUUACUGAUUUCUUGCAUUGGUGUAACUGUUUGAAUCAAUCAUCUAUAUUUGUGUAUACUCUUUUCUUUCGCCUUUCUUUGGGUCUCUCCUGUGGGGAUGCCAUAAUAGAAUCAUGAACUCUUGAUAUCUUUUGAGGUCCGGUUUUAGUCUUGCGUCCCUCAUCGUUGUUGAAGUAAAACCAUAUAUGUCUGUUAUUGGCACCACGUAUCAGUCUGCGUCUCCGGCAUUGCAGCUAUUUUUGUUUUCUGGAACCCACUCGGGUUUUUUUGUUGUUCCCAUUCACGGCGCGACAAAGCAGCAUCAUUCUUCCCUUCCCCUGUCAGAAGAAUCACACUGUGGGAGCCUUGCAUUGUGGGACGAGUCUCCUGUAAUUGUAAUUUUGUUUUAUUUUCUAUGAAUUCUGCUACUUAUGUUGAGUAUCCUGCUGUUUGUGAUUCAAUGCUAAUUCAUGCUCGGUGCUGAUAUGUACUGACAGUUCAAAGUUUAGUUUGUCAGCUGAUAAGAAUGUGUUCGAUGGUUUGUCCAACCAAGAGGAAGGAUUAUGGGUAAGGGAUAUAAAACGACCGUUCUCUUGGACUAUGGGACCCUCCUUUAUGCAGGCUUUUGGGCUCUAGAACGGUUGCUGGUCCCUCGACGAAGGGAAGCGUCUGCAUGUAAGCUAUUGGACUCAUGUUGUUGGCCUCGAAGGUCGCUAUGUUGACGGGACCACCUUGUUGAAGGUUCUUUGGACGAUUUGGACGGUUGGAGGAUUUUCUGGCCGGGAAUCUUGGUGAGGAGCUUCCGAGUCCGUUUAGUUGGAUGCGGGUUCGUCUGCGUCAACCCUGCAGCUGCGGUUUCUCUCUAUUAACUCGGGUGCCCUUUUUUCGUUCCCCUCGUUAUGGGCGGGGUUUGGGCAUUUGUUUUUCAGUCAAAUGUAGUGCCUGCGGUCUUUGUUUUGGUCAUGCGUGGGUUUAUGCA
Molecule: non-coding RNA, 3858 nt
Organism: Elaeis guineensis (African oil palm)
Lineage: Eukaryota; Viridiplantae; Streptophyta; Magnoliopsida; Arecales; Arecaceae
Source: RefSeq, a predicted model, not a curated record